This 619-nucleotide ribosomal RNA is filed under the name uncultured bacterium. RNAcentral describes it as "bacterial SSU rRNA". It matches the Rfam family "Bacterial small subunit ribosomal RNA", at positions 338 to 947 of the family's 1533-position model. The record is from RNAcentral.
CCUACGGGAGGCAGCAGUGGGGAAUUUUGGACAAUGGGCGAAAGCCUGAUCCAGCCAUGCCGCGUGAGUGAAGAAGGCCUUCGGGUUGUAAAGCUCUUUCAGCCGGAAAGAAAUCGCGCAGGCUAAUACUCUGCGUGGAUGACGGUACCGGAAGAAGAAGCACCGGCUAACUACGUGCCAGCAGCCGCGGUAAUACGUAGGGUGCGAGCGUUAAUCGGAAUUACUGGGCGUAAAGCGUGCGCAGGCGGUUAUAUAAGACAGAUGUGAAAUCCCCGGGCUCAACCUGGGAACUGCGUUUGUGACUGUAUGACUAGAGUACGGCAGAGGGAGGUGGAAUUCCGCGUGUAGCAGUGAAAUGCGUAGAUAUGCGGAGGAACACCGAUGGCGAAGGCAGCCUCCUGGGCCAGUACUGACGCUCAUGCACGAAAGCGUGGGGANCAAACAGGAUUAGAUACCCUGGUAGUCCACGCCCUAAACGAUGUCAACUAGUUGUUCGGUGAGGAGACUCAUUGAGUAACGCAGCUAACGCUGAAGUUGACCGCCUGGGGAGUACGGCCGCAAGGUUAAAACCNCGAAAGGAUUGACGGCNGAGAGNGCGAGGCGACGACGAGGGAGGAGG